AGAAUCAACGCUGGCGGCGUGCCUAACACAUGCAAGUCGAACGCGGCUAUCCCGCAAGGGAUAGCUGAGUGGCGAACGGGUGAGUAACACGUGGGUGACCUACCUUCGAGUGGGGGAUAACGUCCCGAAAGGGACGCUAAUACCGCAUAACAUCCCGCCUUUGAACAGGUGGAGAUCAAAGCCGGGGAUCGCAAGACCUGGCGCUUGAUGAGGGGCCCGCGUCCGAUUAGCUAGUUGGUGAGGUAAUGGCUCACCAAGGCGACGAU
This 266-nucleotide ribosomal RNA is filed under the name uncultured soil bacterium. Its description in RNAcentral is "partial 16S ribosomal RNA". It matches the Rfam family "Bacterial small subunit ribosomal RNA", at positions 26 to 280 of the family's 1533-position model. The record is from RNAcentral.